RNAcentral lists this long non-coding RNA (13077 nucleotides) under Triticum aestivum (bread wheat). RNAcentral describes it as "long non-coding RNA (TAES_LNC022389)". The record is from RNAcentral. Lineage: Eukaryota; Viridiplantae; Streptophyta; Magnoliopsida; Poales; Poaceae.
AGGUACAAGAGGCAAAUCCUGAGGGAGCUUUAUGCGGGAAUGCAUAACAGGCAUAUUAGGACCUGGGACAGCGGCUAUCGAUGCCCAUUUUGCAAUCACAAGCUUCAUGACGCGUAUCAAAGUGUUCUGGCGCAUGCAAGAGGACGGGCCGUUGGCUCCUUCAAGAAGAAGUAUUCUCGCAGGGUGGAGCACGGCCGUACGCCGUGUACCUGGAGAAGCUUCAGGAUCAUGCCGGCAUGUGAGAUGAGGAGUGGGAUCGAACUAUCUACGCUUGAGCAUGCGUAAUGACGGUUGAACUAUGCUUGUCUAUGUGUACGCUUAUUAUCUAUGUCUAAGUAUGUUUAAUCUAUGUUUACUUAUGUCUAACUGUGGGAUAUGGAUGCAAUCAGUUUGGUUGAUGGAAUCUACCUCCGUCCUCGUUUAUUGGCGCCCUUUGUAAUUUGUGUUAAAUGUUGACCAACGAUUUAACUAACAAAAUGUUAGUGUAGGUCAGCAAAAAUUAUAUCAUUGGAUGCGUAUUUGAACAUAGUGUUCAAUGAUAUAAUUUUUGGUGACAUGCAGAAACAUUUCUUAGUCAAUUAUUUUGUCGAAAUUUGGUACAAAUUGUAGAGGGGACCAAUAAACCAGGACGGAGGUAGUACGUCAAUCACACACGGUUCCCAAAAUUUGAACCGUGUGCAAUGACUUUCAUUUUGCCUGUUGCUUCAAUCACACAUGGUUCCCAAAAUUGGAAUAGUGUGCAAUGACUUUUGUCUUGCUUGUUGCACCAAUCACACACGGUUGGCUCUAGCAAAUAGUUGCCUCCAAAAUUCUUUGUGGGACAGAAAACCCUCACCACCCAAUUCAAAAAAGAAAAAAGAAAACACUCGCCAUACCCAUGUCACAAAAACCCUGACCCCCGCCCGCCACGCCAUGCCUCUGGUCGCCAUUCACACCUGCACAAGCUCCUCCGCAUCUGUGCAUGGCACCGCCUAUCGUGGCAGUAACCACUUAGCUCGACGCCUGCCACUGCUGCCAGGCUACCGGCAAACCCCACCACAGUUCGCCACUUCCGCUUGCCGCCGCCUAUCGCCAUCGACGUUCUCGACGCUGCCCGCGGUCGACUCAGCUCCGCUCGGUUGGGGAGUCUGCCGUAUUGAGGGUUUUUUCUCAUGGACGACAAGGUAACUAAUUUAAUGAGAUAUUAUCCCAUCUCACAUCCCAGUUCAUCAGCCUCUUUUAAUCACCCGGCAGAAAUCACCGUGAAUUCAUUUUUAUUCGAGAUGAUUUGAGGGUUUUCUUUCAUUCAUAGAGUGUACAGUGCACUGACACAUCAGGACCUUGCGACCUCCGCCAGAGAUUCCAUCUGACUGUACCAGAUGACUUGAGCAUGUGCACGGUAUGUUCAAUCUCACCCUAAAUCGGUUGGCAUGGCCUACUUUCCUGAAGAUAUUCUAAAUAUUGCCACAUUUGGAUAAAAGGUGCCACAUGCACCAUAUACGUCAAAGGGGAUUUCCCCCUCUUCUUUCUAUAUUAGGCAAAUUAAUGAUGUAUUGUUCUUUUGAUUACUCUCAUAUUUCCAUGACAUCAUAUUUACCCUAUAUGUUUGGUUAUAGAUUUUUGUCCUUCGAUUUCAAUUGAUGUACAGUUCUUUCAAUUUGGGCCCAUAUUUGCAUGUUACCAUAUUUUCUUUAACAAUCCUACCAUUUUCUGCAGCGCAUCCCUUACUAUGCAACAGAUUAUGUAGUGCGCAAUUUUUCCCUUUACAUAGAUCAAGGCUGCACGGAUGUCAUACUGCACACAAACCAUGGAUUUACAAUUGUUGCUACUGUAAGACUUGAUGAACGUGGCGAAACCUAUUUUGGCGCUAGCUUUUGGAAAGAAAUUUCUAAGUUUUAUGUACUGAAAGCUGGCACUAAAAUUGGACUGCACAUAAAAGGGCCUGGUCAUGAGAUAUAUGCUAACUGCCCCGACAAAAUCAUCCGUCAUGACUUUGUUCAAAGUAAGUUUUCUUUUCAACUAUCUGCAUGUUGACUUACCCAGCAAUGUUAAAUGAAUUGUGCAAUAUUUAAGCAACCAAUUGUUAUUCCCUUUUCUUACUAUAUUCCUACCUAAUAACUUCUAGUUACCAAUACACUUUUCUAUUGCUGUGUUUUAACUAAAUAUUCCAUGUACUCUCAUUUCUAUCAGAAAGUGCCGCUGACAAGGAGACUCCGGAGGUGGAGAACGGGGCUACCAACAAGCGGAGGCGGGGUGAGCUAGAACCGCAAGCAACUCCAGCAGGCAUAGACUUCAUCAGCAGCCUCCUCGAUGAUGUGUUGACAGUCAUCAUCACCCUCCUCCCAAUCAAAUGUGGGGCGUGGAUAACCGUCCUUUCCUGGCGGUGGCGCCCCCUAUGGAACUUCACCCCUCUCGACCUGAUCGACACCGACGAGCUCUGCCAUGGCUAUCGCCAAAGCUUAGAUGCAUUCUCCAAGAUCCUCGGCAGUCACCCUGGCCCAACCAGAUCCUUAGAAUGGGCAAGUUCCAUUCCAACGGCAGGGAUCGAGCCAAGCUUGAUGACUGGUUCGGAUCCCCCGCCCUAGAUCUGCUCGAGGAGCUCACUUUUGAUGAUGGGCAUAUGCGCUCGCUGCCAACGUCCGCGCUCCGCCUCGCGCCCACGCUGCGCGUUGCCAAGUUUAGGAACUGCCAUCCCCCCUUAAUGGCGCGCCCACUCUUAUUCUACCACGACUGAAGCACCUCGAGCUCGUCGCCAUCUACCUCUCAAAUGGUGACAUGGAGCGCCUGCUCCGUGGCUGUACUACACUCGAGUACCUUCGUCUUCAAGCGAUCAAAGUUGAGUACAUUCCACAUCACCUCCAUGACUCUCCACACUAUUUAUGUGUGUUGCUGGUUCAGCAGGAAGACAUCACAAGAUGUGUACCACAGUAUGGUCACUGAGGACACACCUGCACUUGAGAGAUUACUUGUACUUGAUCAAGUAGGUCCAACAAGAAUCAAUGUCAUUUCUGCACCGAAAUUGACAGUGAUGGGCUACUCGUCUGACAAAUACUCCGAACUUGUUAUUGGAUCCACACCCAUUCAGGUAAACAGCCGCCUUCUACCUCUCCUUCUACAAAUUAACAUUAUUUGUAAUUUUGAAGAUAUUUGUUCGUGUGUCAUUCAGAAAAUGAUUCCGACAAGCCUGACCGCGAAACUACACACGAUGAAGUGAAGGAAAUAUGCCCUAGAGGCAAUAAUAAAGUUAUUAUUUAUUUCAUCAUAUCAUGAUAAAUGUUUAUUAUUCAUGAUAGAGUUGUAUUACCCGGAAACAUAAUGCAUGUGUGAAUACAUAGACAUAGUAUGCCUCUACUUGACUAGCUCGUGAAUCAAAGAUGGUUAAGUUUCCUAACCAUAGACAUGAGUUGUCAUUUGAUUAACGGGAUCACAUCAUUAGGAGAAUGAUGUGAUUGACUUGACCCAUUCCGUUAGCUUAGCACUUGAUCGUUUAGUAUGUUGCUAUUGCUUUCCUCAUGACUUAUACAUGUUCCUAUGACUAUGAGAUUAUGUAACUUCCGCUUAUCGUAGGUACACUUUGUGUGCUACCAAGCGUCACAAUGUAACUGGGUAACUAUAAAGGUGCUCUAAAGGUGUCUCCAAAGGUACUUGUUGAGUUGACGUAUUUCGAGAUUAGAAUUUGACACUCCGAUUGUCGGAGAGGUAUCUCUGGGCCCUCUCGGUAAUGCACAUCACUAUAAGCCUUGCAAGCAAUGUAGCUAAUGAGUUAGUUACGGGAUGAUGAAUUACGUAACGAGUAAAAAGACUUGCCGGUAACGAGAUUGAACUAGGUAUUGAGAUACCGACGAUUGAAUCUCGGGCAAGUAACAUAGCGAUGACAAAGGGAAUUACGUAUGUGAUGCGGAGCAUCCCAUGUUCAUCCCCAUGUAUACUCCGACUACUCUCCAAACCCCAAGGAUACAUAAGAUGAGGCAUUGACUAUGCACCAUUGCACACAAGGUGAAUUCACUCCUCUUCGAACUGUCACUUUCCGCAUGCAAGAUAUGGAUGCUACCUCAAGCGCGAACCUUGUGCAUACUCAGGUACACCCGAGGAGAUCAUGGAGAGCCCAAGGACCAAGGCCAAGUGUGCGCUGAAGCAAAGGAAGAAGAGUCUGCUGCUACAGCAGCUAGACAUCCGGCCAUGUCCCGGACAUCCGGCCCAACCACCGGAAAUCCGGCCUCCAUCACAGAAUGCAUCUGGAGGCGACCCCGACAGCCGGACAUCCGGUCCCGUGCCCCGGACAUCCGGCUCCUCCCGAAGCCCCGGACAUCCGGCCCUCCUCGUCGGAAAUCCGGCCCCUGGUGUCUAGAGAGCAACCGCAAGGCACCCAGGCCAGCCCGGACAUCCGGCCCGUCGCGAAGCCCCGGACAUCCGGCUCCCACCCCGGACAUCCGGCGCCUGUCUACGCACAGUGAACGGGCCAAGGGCCCAUGUAUCCCUCUCACUUACCCCUUCGAGGCUAAGGCCUAUAUAUACUCCACCACCUCCUCCUAGUUAGGGUUAGCAUUGGUUUAGCUCAUAUUUUGUGUGAGAGCCUUGCUCAUCCACUUGGUUACUUCUCCUCGGAGCUUACGACCUCUUCGGAGAAGAUCCCCCAAGCGGAUUCAAGACCCCUUCAAGGGAAGACAAUCAAGACCUCCUCACGGAGAAGAACGGCUAUCCGUGUAUCUUUCCUUUGUUUAUUUUGAAUCUUGUGCUACCUUAUGUGUUCGGUGAUCUAGCCCUUGUGUGAUCGAUUACUUGUCGGUUUAGUGAUCCUCUCGUUUCUCCUCAUGUUUUCCCUUGUGUUUUCCGCGCGUUCUUCGUGUCUCCCCGUAGGAUCCACUCCAAACAUGAAAGAUCGGCCCCAUAGGGAUCCGCUCUACAUCAUCUUGGUAUCAUGAGCCACGUUGAUCACGUUUUUGGAGCCCCUACCCCUCUUUUUCUAGCUUGAUUUUGUUGAUUUCGUCCUAAAUCCGAAAAUCCCCACAAAAAAUAGCCCCAAUUUUUUGUGAUUUGUUGGUUUGAUAAUGUUUUGUUGAUUUUGAUCCAUGGAUUUGCUUGGUUUCGAGUGGAUCUAGCAUCUCCCCAAGUUUCCCCACUUUCCAUCCACGAAAUCUCUCCAAUGUUGCCCCCGAAAUCAUCAAUUUCCGCCCCAACAUCGAGUUCCUCGAGUUCAUCCUCGAAUUUGGAGCCCGGAGACAUCUGGCCCGACCUCCGGACAUCCGGCCAUCCCGGACAUCCGCCCAUUAGCCUGGACAUCCGGCUCCUGGAGUGCAUUUUCGCGCAAGUUUCUGGACAUCAGGUCCCGGAAAUCUGGCCCGACCCCCGGAUGUCCGGCCCCUCGGAUUUCAGCUUUUUCUGUUUCACCGUUUUGACCAUAACUAAUUCAUUCGGAGUCCGAUUUUGACGUUCUUUAGCUCGUUUUGAAGCUCUUGACAUUCCCAUUCCCACAAAAAUACCACCAACAUCAUUUGACUUCAUCAAAUUUUUGAAAUUUUGGCAAGUUGGCCUAGGGCUUACACCACAUCAUCCGCAUAGCCACCACCGACUUCCGCAACCUAACCCAUUUUGUUCCAUAUAGCAUUAGUGGUUGUUUGAGUUGUGGCUUGUGUCUCCUAAGGUGUUUUGGCUACUUAGGGAUGACAACUUCAACUCCGACACAUGUAUAGCCACCAUUCCACUUCCGCAUAGGCUUGCCCACCAUACACUUCCGCCACCGCAACUUAACCCAUUUUGUUUGUGUUAUGAGUUAUGUCUCCUAAGGUGUUUCGGCUACUUAGGGACGGAAACGUCAACUUUGACACGUGUAUAGCCCGUCAUCCCACUUCCGCAUUGCCAAGUGCAAACUACCACCGCUUUCCGCUACCACCAUUUUGGCAUUUGACGUGUGAAAUUUUGAGCUCGCGGUUUUUCUGUUUCCUAAGGUGUUUCGGCUACUUAGGGACGAGUCUCCAUCAUCUUGGUUUCUACAUCAAGAACACCGCCACUCAUCAUCGCCAAGGACGGUAACCUCCAUAUCAUCUUGGUAUCGUGGUAUCCCUCCAUUGUAUAUUCCCCUUGCCAUUGCAUUGUUAACCCCUAGCCCAUUUUGUGUCACUUGCCUAUCGAGACUGGCCAUUUGAGUAUUGCCGGCAAUGUUACUUGUGCACAUUAGUGAUCCAUACUUCCCAUAGCAUACAUACCAUUUCAUCGUGGUGCAUAUAUUGGUAUCACAUCGUGUGCCACGAGUUUGUUCCCGCAUAUACGCAAUUGCUAUCUUGGUUUGUGCAUUGUGCAAAAGUGGCCAUAGAGAAAAAAAAGAAAUAAAGCUUUUAAGCAAAGAAAAAAAAGAGAGAGCAAAUAAGCUUGUAAGCAAGUGCCAUAGCAUCAUACCACAUUGCAUAUAAGAUUGUCAUAUCCGAUCAUCUUGGAUCAUCUUGCGAGAAACAUCGGGAACCAUACAUACAUAGCAUACUUGGGAUAGAAGUCCAUAUAUUUUGCAUCUUAUAGGUUGUGCACAAGUGUCGUAUCCGCCUAUAGAGAAAUCAUGCUAGCGUCUCUCUUGAGUUGUGCAACACGAGCGUUUUCCAAGGGUUCCACAUUUUGUGCUCAUUCCUUGGUUGCACGACCCCAUUUAUCUAUCCGUGUGUGUAUUUCCGUGUGCCUUCCAUAUUGCUAUUGGUCCAUUUGUUUCACUUGCAGAUUUGUGAAUCUCUUUAAACAUUAUUAACUUUUGCUAACAUUUUGCAUUAAAUUUUUGUGCCACUAUCCUCACCGAGCUCCACCAUAAGCUUUACUUGUGUAGGUGUGAGAACUGACAAGAAUUGGUACCAAUAUGCUAUUUCAUUGUCCGCAUUUGAGUGACCUUGAUUCAUUGUCAACAUCGUUCAAGGUACAUUGGUAUAAGUUCUUAUCUUUCUCCCACUCAUAUUUGCUCGAGUCUUGUGAUGGAUAGGCAAGGCAUUUCAUCUCCGGUCUACGACAACAACGAUGGCGUGAACAACUACAUCAACAAAGCGUCCAUCUUCGAUCUACAACUCCAAAUGCAAGGCGCACAAUCACGAUUGCGAGAGCGCAUCGAGAACAUCUCCAUCGACAUUCGUCACUCUGAAGCAAGGAAAAGGGACUACAUCGACAAGAAGCUUUCCGCACAUAAGGAGGAGCAAGAUGCAAGGAUGGAGGAGAUUAGAGCCUUAAUCAAGUCUUCUUCCCCUUCGUCAUCUUCAAGGCGGCGACAUUCAAGCCACAAGUCUUCGGAGCGCGAAAAUGAUGAAAUUGCAAAUCGUCCUCGUCCACAUCUACAUGGCGACCAGCAUCACGUUCGUGAUCCACAUCGUCAUGAAGGGCAAGUCACCUCCAAGCAUCAUGUGCACGACGAUGACGAACGACGUCUACAGCGAGCUCAAGCACAACAACGACAUCACCAUCACGAAGAUGCUCCACAAGCGCAAAGGCACAAGUCCCAACAAGCCCUAUUUCAUGCCAAGUCCAAGCUUCAUGAGCACAAAAGAAGACUGCGAGACGACCACCACCAAGACGGCGGUACGGCUACCACCACCACUUCGGCAUCUUCGCCAAGUGCUAUCAAGGCAUCUUCACCUUUGUACGUACGGCAUCUUCGCCUAUUUCCCACAUGUACGCCUACUUCGACUUCAUCAAGUCCAAGGCGACUACCUAUGAGCGAGGGCAACACUUCCAUCUUCGGAAGCCCCUCAAGGAGGAUGGCCGAGCAUGGGAAACUCCCUUCGGUCAUGGAGACGAGCUACGAGGUGCCACAUCAUAUGGGCCUCCCACACCAAUACGGUGACAAGAAGGUCGAGCAAGGGCCAUCCCCUUCGACCACGACGAUAGGAGUUGAGCAUGGAGACAUUUGCACCUACAUCUCUCCGACACCCACAUAUGUCGAGAUGCCCCAAGUGCCAUGUGAGGAGAGCCACCACCACAUAAGUGACAUGAGUGACUCCACUAUAUGUGACAUUGAGAGCAUUUCCUAUGAGAGGAUGAGUGUGACCACCACUAGCCCCACACAUGAGAGCAUGCCACACAUCCUAUGUGAGGUUGAGAGCCAUUUCAGUGACUCCACCAACCAUAUGAGUGAGUGCAUUCUUGAGGGAGUGAGUGGGCCACAACACGUAGUGAGUGAGGUAGUUGAGACGACAUGUGAGGCCACUAUGAUUUCUAACGACUUAACCUCUACUCCUAGUGUGUUUUCUUCUUUGGUACUAGGUCACCUACAUGACGACAUGCCUGUUCUCGACGAGUCCAUCCCCCCAAUGGUGACGACGAUGGCCAUGGUGGACGAUGAUACACCCCCCACAUGGUUCCAUCAAGAUGAAGAUGACAACGAGUGGAUCUUCAACACCUCACCUACAACACAUGAGCGACGCACCAAAGCUAACAUAGGUGAUGGUACUUCUCUUGUCCCACUAGUGGACCAUCUUGACAUUGAUUGCUCCCAUGAUGUUGACCCACCUAUUACCAUGCUUCAUGCUAGUGAAACUUCUUCAUGCCUUGACUUACCUAUUUAUGAUGAAUAUGAUGAUGAGCAUGUUGUGUUGCCUAGUUGUGAUGCUAUUCUCCAUACGAUAUCAUGUGAAAAUUCUUUUGGUCACAUCAUGUUUGACAACCCAUUGAACUUGUCAUAUGCUAUGAGUGAGAUCUCACAUAUUGCAUCAUUACAAUCUCAACAUAGUAACUAUGCAUGCCCCAUUAAAAUCAAUCCCAUUUGCACUUAUGGCAUAGAUGACGAGAUGAUGGUCAUUGGCUUUUGCUUCUCUUGUGAUGAUAUCGACAUGCUUCCUUUACAUGAUUUGCGCAAUUCCUCUACUAUGACAUGCCAUGAUCACAUUGUUUCGAAUAUGCAUUGUUUUGGAUGUUGUCAAUAUUCUCCACGUGAUGUUUCUACUCUUGCUCAUGAGGAGAUCCCCAUAGUUUCCUCAUACAUAUUAGGAGAUCUUGAUGCAUUCCAUACUUUGCAUGAUUCCCAUGACUGCGUGCACCAUAUGCAUUCCAUGAAUAAGAAUGCUCUAGAUAUUUCUCAUGAUGCAUUACAACCUUUCAGUCUCCAUUAUGCCAUACAUAACAACAAACCUCUCAUGAUGGAUGACAUGUUUCUAUAUCACGCAUCUCAUUUAUUUGAGCAUUGGAUAUUUUGUGCUAACCGACACAUGCACGUGCGCAUCAUGAUGGAUGAUGUGUACAUAUACGAUGCACACACAAUUUUUCAUUUGUCUUUGUUUUGUGUAGGUACUCAUGUAUACUCGUCAACCUCUCAAUCCCAAGAGUUGACGAAACGAGCUCUUGAGAGCAACGAUGCUUUGGGAUCCCGUGGACUAUCCUUACCACCAUUCCCUUCGCGCAAGGACUACGCGCAUCUCUUUUACUUGGCUCUCACACGGAAUGGGCUAUAUACCAUUUGUCCCCUUAUGCCCAUACUAUCGUGUUCACUUUGCAUGUUAUGCCUCUUUACAUGAUUUUGCCAUGCAAUUGUGACCCUUGCUUGCAUCUACCCAUGAUUCACCAUUAUGCUACUCCUAUGUGUAUUUUCAUGCUUGGUGGAGACCCUUGUUGCUUUUGCCAUGAUUUCUUUGUGCCCCAUGCUAUUGAUGAUUGUUGUGUUGGGAGAGUCAUGAUGACCCAUUGCUAUUUACAUAUGGCUUCUCACCAAUACAUUCAUGCUAUUUUCCUCAUAUCUUGCUUUCAUGCUUGUGCUAUGCCAUGUGAAUUAUUCUUGCACACUAUUUGCACCAAUGACAUGCUUGCCAUGAUUCCUCCUAGUAUGUUGCAUCUUCGCACUACUAGCUUGCGUGACUUGAUCACUAUGAUUGCUUGCUAUGUUGCAUCACCCAUGUUCCACUAUUACUUGCUUUCUUGGGUUGAUGACAUAUAUGCUCAUGCCUCUCACUUGAUUUGUCAUGAUCAUUGUCUCUUGUCUCCAUUAGUUGCAUCUCUCAUAUCACCUUGUAUUGAGUGCCAACUUGCUAUGCUUAUUGAUCUUGGAGACUUGGACACUAUACUUGUGAUGCAUGCUUGUUUGAUUGAGCCUCUUGUAUUUGGUUGUUCUUGCAUCAUAUGCCUCCAUACUAUGAAAUGCUCCCUUGUACUUUCUUAUGAUGAGCAUCAUGCAUACACUUCUUGGGUAUCUUACCACACGAAUGAUAGGUUUUGCACUUCCACUAACCUCAUUUGUUUUUCCGAGUGUUUGACAUGUUCUUUCGUUUUGAAGGAUUCACAAGGAAUUACCAUCAUGAGACAACUUGGUCAUGUGAAGGCAUACAUGAUGUGCGACGCCAACAUUUUCGACAUUCUCAUAAAGGUGAACUCCUUCUCUUUGAGCCAUCCUCAAAUACGCAUAUUGGAUGGGUCACUCUUUAAUUGUUGUUUCCUUCUUGUUGUCUACAUGUUACAUCUAUUAUAUGGAGGAGUGACAUUGGAGAUUGGCUUUAUGAACCUUCACAUUGAGGAGCGCUCGGACUUAUUGGAUGCACCUUCGGACUUCCACUCAUGCCACGACAUUGAGCAUUGGUACAUCAACACUCCUUUAGCACAUUGCACUCACACCUCCAUAAUUGUUGAUUGUGCUCCCACAUGUCAUGCUCGAUGGACAUAUCAUACUCACCACAAGUUUGCACCCUAUGCAUGGAUUGACUCACAUUAUGCUUGCCUUGUUGCAUCUAUUUCCAUGACAUCCAUGAUAUAUGAGCUUGUUCACUUCCUUAGCAAAUUUGUUGUGAUCUUCCUUGAUGGCAUAUUCAUACAUCAUGAUCAUAUUGUCCACCAUCAAUUGCAUGAUAGCUUACACAUAUUGAGCAUCCAUUGCCAUAUUCAUGCUAUUGAUGAACCGUCUCUCUAUGACAUCAUUUUGCACAAUGGUAGAAUUUGUCGCUUUGUGCACCAUGCUAAUUAUCCCAUGAAUGCUUUGCAUAUCAUUCUAGAUCAUCUUGAUAAGCAUCACGUGUCUUGCCAUGCACCAUCUUGCCGCACGGACUCAUAUUUACUUGAUGGACCCUUUGUGUGCGCUAACCAUUGUAUUUCCAAGUGUACUUUGUGUUUGCUCCUUUUGCAUGUAUACCACUCCGGAGACACCUUGGAGUACUUGGAUUGUGUCAUGCCUUCAACUUCGUCCAACUACAUGUCCGUCCACGACAACCGUUUCCAUGGUGAUGGGGAUCACGAUCCGAGGNNNNNNNNNNNNNNNNNNNNNNNNNNNNNNNNNNNNNNNNNNNNNNNNNNNNNNNNNNNNNNNNNNNNNNNNNNNNNNNNNNNNNNNNNNNNNNNNNNNNNNNNNNNNNNNNNNNNNNNNNNNNNNNNNNNNNNNNNNNNNNNNNNNNNNNNNNNNNNNNNNNNNNNNNNNNNNNNNNNNNNNNNNNNNNNNNNNNNNNNNNNNNNNNNNNNNNNNNNAUGAUGCGGAGCAUCCCACGUUCAUCCCCAUGUACACUCCGACUACUCUCCAAGCCCCAAGGAUACAUAAGAUGAGGCCUCGACUAUGCACCAUUGCACACAAGGUGAAUUCACUCCUCUUCGAACCGUCACUUUCCGCAUGCAAGAUAUGGAUGCUACCUCAAGCGCGAACCUUGUGCAUACUCAGGUACACCCGAGGAGGCCAUGGAGAGCGCAAGGACCAAGGCCAAGUGUGCGCGGGAGCAAAGGAAGAAGAAGGAAGAAGAGUCUGCUGCUACAGCAGCCGGACAUCCGGCCAUGUCCCGGACAUCCGGCUGAUCAAUUGAAAGUAUAGCGGGGUUUUUACGCCCCAAACUACGGAUGUCGUGUUCUCCACAGGGACUAGGCAAUCAGUGUCUAUGCUCGACUAAAGCUAGGUAAUACAAUUCAGAUGAUGGGAACAGAAAAUAAACCUAAACUAUGAAGAUUGUCGCCAAUGAAAAUGCGUAUAAGCAAAGGUAGAUUCAGAUUUUACUAACUUUCCUUGGUAUUUUUGUUUUACUAGAGACGCUAAAACACUAACAUAAAGGGAAGCAAUGGGACACGAACACAUAUAUUACUAUCAUACAAGUAACAAAGGGGAAGAAAGAAUGCUAUGACAGAGACACAAAUAUAUCACAACACAAACAUAUAUAUUUUCACAUGAACGUAAUUAACACAGGGACUACAGAACACACAUAAGCACACAUAUGCGAACAGGGUGCUACACCAUAAUUCAGGUUACACAAGUAAACAAAUUAAACAAGCCACUUGACUAGUAUCACAGAUCAACAGAGUAGUAUUGAACAACUAAAAAUAGAUAGUAGAAGUAACUAGUACAGGAAGCAAGUACUCUUAGAAUCUGAAUGUUACAGACUACAAGUCUCAAACUACAGAAAAUUCAGAGAAGAGAAGGAGAAAGAGAGAUGGCAGCAGGAGAUUAGAGAAAGAAGAAGAAGCAACUGGGGCAUGGAGAAAGGAGCAACAACAGUACGGGAUUCAGAGAAGAACUAAGAGCAGCAGCUAAAGAGAAGGGCAGCAGGGGGCGCAUUAGAAGAAGGAGCAGCAGCAGGUUGGCGAUGGGGAAGAAGAGCAGCAGCAGUAGGGAUUCAGAGAGGAAGAACCAGCAGGUUGAGGCAACAGCAACAAGGGGCGUUGGAGAUGUAGUAGUAACAGUAGGAAGAGAAGAAGGACGACAGCACGGGGUUCAGAGAAGAGCAGCAGCAGGUGGCGCGGGGAAGGUUAGGAGUAGCAACGAGAUUGGGGAAAGAAGAAGGUUAGGAGCAGCAGGAGAUUGAGAGUGGUGGCGCUGGGUGUUGUGGAGGCGCGCUGGUGGUACUGGAUGGCGCGGUGGUGAAGUGGAGAUGCGGAGGCGCUGGGUGAAGGUGGAGAUGUUGGAUGGCACUGGCUGCAUGGAUGGCUGGGAGGUGAUGGUGUUGCUGGUGGAUGGAUGGCACUGGUUGGCGCACCACCACACCGGCCUGGCCGUGGCGGUAGCCGGAGGUGGAGAAGGAGGUUGGGGGAGAGAGAUGUGUGCCAGGCCCGAUCGGAUGCCUCCAGCGCCUAGGGAUUUUGUUCCCCUCCUCUCAUCUGCACUUUGUGAUUUGGCCCUCUUUCUUCUCGUCUUUCUUCAAAAGAAGGUCCUCCCACUUCUUUAUCUAGCUCCCUGGUUACUUCUCU